UAGGGAAUCUUGGGCAAUGGGCGAAAGCCUGACCCAGCGAUGCCGCGUGUGCGAAGAAGGCCUUAGGGUUGUAAAGCACUUUCAGUCGUGAAGAAAAGCUUAAAGUUAAUAGCUUUGAGUCUUGACGUUAACGACACAAGAAGAUCCGGCUAACUCCGUGCCAGCAGCCGCGGUAAUACGGAGGGAUCGAACGUUAAUCGGAAUUACUGGGCGUAAAGCGCGCGUAGGCGGUUUGAUAAGUGGGAUGUGAAAGCCCCGGGCUUAACCUGGGAACUGCAUUCCAAACUGUCAGACUAGAGUAUGGUAGAGGGUGGUAGAAUUUCCUGUGUAGCGGUGAAAUGCGUAGAUAUAGGAAGGAAUACCGAUGGCGAAGGCAGCCACCUGGACCAAUACUGACGCUGAGGUGCGAAAGCGUGGGGAGCAAACA
RNAcentral lists this ribosomal RNA (427 nucleotides) under uncultured bacterium. RNAcentral describes it as "bacterial SSU rRNA". It matches the Rfam family "Bacterial small subunit ribosomal RNA", at positions 355 to 774 of the family's 1533-position model. The record is from RNAcentral.